Molecule: unclassified non-coding RNA, 147 nt
Organism: Papio anubis (olive baboon)
Lineage: Eukaryota; Metazoa; Chordata; Mammalia; Primates; Cercopithecidae
Rfam family: Metazoan signal recognition particle RNA
About the family: The signal recognition particle (SRP) is a universally conserved ribonucleoprotein. It is involved in the co-translational targeting of proteins to membranes. The eukaryotic SRP consists of a 300-nucleotide 7S RNA and six proteins: SRPs 72, 68, 54, 19, 14, and 9.
Source: Ensembl
GCCGGGCGUGGUGGCGGGCGCCUGUAGUCCCAGCUACUCGGAGGCUGAGGCGGGAGAAUGGCGUGAACCCGGGAGGUGGAGCUUGCAGUGAGCCGAGAUCCCGCCACUGCACUCCAGCCUGGGUGACAGAGCGAGACUCCGUCUCAA